CCUACGGGUGGCUGCAGUGGGGAAUAUUGCACAAUGGGCGCAAGCCUGAUGCAGCCAUGCCGCGUGUGUGAAGAAGGCCUUCGGGUUGUAAAGCACUUUCAGCGGGGAGGAAGGCGUUAAGGUUAAUAACCUUGGCGAUUGACGUUACCCGCAGAAGAAGCACCGGCUAACUCCGUGCCAGCAGCCGCGGUAAUACGGAGGGUGCAAGCGUUAAUCGGAAUUACUGGGCGUAAAGCGCACGCAGGCGGUCUGUCAAGUCGGAUGUGAAAUCCCCGGGCUCAACCUGGGAACUGCAUUCGAAACUGGCAGGCUAGAGUCUUGUAGAGGGGGGUAGAAUUCCAGGUGUAGCGGUGAAAUGCGUAGAGAUCUGGAGGAAUACCGGCGGCGAAGGCGGCCCCCUGGACAAAGACUGACGCUCAGGUGCGAAAGCGUGGGGAGCAAACAGGAUUAGAUACCCGAGUAGUC
RNAcentral lists this ribosomal RNA (465 nucleotides) under uncultured Klebsiella sp. RNAcentral's name for it is "bacterial SSU rRNA". It matches the Rfam family "Bacterial small subunit ribosomal RNA", at positions 338 to 795 of the family's 1533-position model. Lineage: Bacteria; Pseudomonadati; Pseudomonadota; Gammaproteobacteria; Enterobacterales; Enterobacteriaceae. The record is from RNAcentral.